UGGGGAAUAUUGGACAAUGGGCGGAAGCCUGAUCCAGCAACGCCGCGUGAGGGAUGACGGCCUUCGGGUUGUAAACCUCUUUCAGUACCGACGAAGCGAAAGUGACGGUAGGUACAGAAGAAGCACCGGCCAACUACGUGCCAGCAGCCGCGGUAAUACGUAGGGUGCGAGCGUUGUCCGGAAUUAUUGGGCGUAAAGGGCUCGUAGGCGGUUUGUCGCGUCGGGAGUGAAAACCCAGGGCUUAACCCUGGGCUGGCUUUCGAUACGGGCAGACUAGAGGUAUGCAGGGGAGAACGGAAUUCCUGGUGUAGCGGUGAAAUGCGCAGAUAUCAGGAGGAACACCGGUGGCGAAGGCGGUUCUCUGGGCAUUACCUGACGCUGAGGAGCGAAAGUGUGGGGAGCGAACA
Molecule: ribosomal RNA, 407 nt
Filed under: uncultured Nocardioides sp.
Lineage: Bacteria; Bacillati; Actinomycetota; Actinomycetes; Propionibacteriales; Nocardioidaceae
Description: bacterial SSU rRNA
Rfam family: Bacterial small subunit ribosomal RNA
Source: RNAcentral